CUACGGGGGGCUGCAGUGAGGAAUAUUGCACAAUGGGGGAAACCCUGAUGCAGCAACGCCGCGUGGAGGAUGACGCAUUUCGGUGUGUAAACUCCUUUUAUAUGUCAAGAAAAUGACGGUAGCAUAUGAAUAAGCACCGGCUAACUCCGUGCCAGCAGCCGCGGUAAUACGGAGGGUGCAAGCGUUACUCGGAAUCACUGGGCGUAAAGGACGCGUAGGCGGGUUGUCAAGUCAGGUGUGAAAUCCUACAGCUUAACUGUAGAACUGCACUUGAAACUGGCAGCCUAGAGUAUGGGAGGGGGAGAUGGAAUUAGUAGUGUAGGGGUAAAAUCCGUAGAUAUUACUAGGAAUAUCAAAAGCGAAGGCGAUCUCCUGGAACAUUACUGACGCUAAGGCGUGAAAGCGUGGGGAGCAAACAGGAUUAGAUACCCCUGUAGUC
Molecule: ribosomal RNA, 439 nt
Filed under: uncultured bacterium
Lineage: Bacteria
Description: partial 16S ribosomal RNA
Rfam family: Bacterial small subunit ribosomal RNA
Source: RNAcentral